CCUACGGGAGGCUGCAGUGGGGAAUAUUGGACAAUGGGGGGAACCCUGAUCCAGCCAUGCCGCGUGUGUGAAGAAGGCCCUCGGGUUGUAAAGCACUUUCAGUGAGGAAGAACGCCUGGUGGUUAAUACCCAUCAGGAAAGACAUCACUCACAGAAGAAGCACCGGCUAACUCCGUGCCAGCAGCCGCGGUAAUACGGAGGGUGCGAGCGUUAAUCGGAAUUACUGGGCGUAAAGCGCGCGUAGGUGGCUUGAUAAGCCGGUUGUGAAAGCCCCGGGCUCAACCUGGGAACGGCAUCCGGAACUGUCAAGCUAGAGUGCAGGAGAGGAAGGUAGAAUUCCCGGUGUAGCGGUGAAAUGCGUAGAGAUCGGGAGGAAUACCAGUGGCGAAGGCGGCCUUCUGGACUGACACUGACACUGAGGUGCGAAAGCGUAGGUAGCAAACAGGAUUAGAUACCCUGGUAGUC
Molecule: ribosomal RNA, 465 nt
Filed under: Vreelandella stevensii
Lineage: Bacteria; Pseudomonadati; Pseudomonadota; Gammaproteobacteria; Oceanospirillales; Halomonadaceae
Description: partial 16S ribosomal RNA
Rfam family: Bacterial small subunit ribosomal RNA
Source: RNAcentral